RNAcentral lists this long non-coding RNA (256 nucleotides) under Homo sapiens (human). RNAcentral's name for it is "HSALNT0069414". The record is from RNAcentral. Lineage: Eukaryota; Metazoa; Chordata; Mammalia; Primates; Hominidae.
UCUCUGUCAAGGGCACAAAGCAAACUACAGAACUCUCCCCUGAUGUGUUCUCCCACUGGCCAGAAAGAAAGCCACAUCCACAAGUCACCUGUGAUACUUUUUUUGAAGAAAAAUAUUCAGAAAAGAUUUGAGAGAAUGCCAAUCAAGGUCACUGUGAAAAGCAACACAAAGAAACGCUGAUCACGUCUCACUUCUUGCCAAUAUUGCUCAGAAGAAAAAACGACCAGUGAAUUCUGUGUUUGAAAAAAGCAUCUCA